Molecule: unclassified non-coding RNA, 2260 nt
Filed under: Leishmania donovani
Lineage: Eukaryota; Euglenozoa; Kinetoplastea; Trypanosomatida; Trypanosomatidae
Description: gene:LdHU3.32.3040(CDS-product:hypothetical_prote in_conserved)
Source: RNAcentral
ACACGUAAAGGCAUCUCCAUUGCAGAUUGCGCGCCGCUCCGUAUUCCCUCUCCUCCUGAGCCCCGCCUCGACCGGCCAUCUUUGACAGCACCGUGCAACUCGGCAGCCGCAACGUCUCUCUUUCUCUCGCCGUGCUGUAAGUGCCUGCCUGUGUCUGUGUAGUCGUUCCUGCGAGUACGCUGGAGGUGGAGUGCCUCCGUUGCCUGCUUUGUGUAUGUGUGCCGCGGCUGCUGCGUGCACUGGCGACGCGGUGAUCUCGCUCGCUUCCAUUAUGGUGUCACUUCCGACAGCGUCAGCCAAGCGACGUCGGCGUUUUCGUUUCUUUUUGUUGUUGUUUUGUGGCUCUUUACAUCACUGCAGGCCAUGCCGUCCCAACCCGGCUCUGCGGAGGAGCUGUACGGGCUCGUGUGUGCUCUGCAAAAGCAGCAACAGCUGACACAGGUCGACCUCCGAGCGGUGCAACGGCGCACCGAGUCGCUACGGCAGGAGCUGCACUGUCAGGAAGCACUUAUUGCCGAAGAGCGGGCGAGGCGUGAGGAGCUCGCCGCAAAACACACGCAAGGCGAUGCCGAGCGCCGGCUUGCGGAGGCGCACGCAAGGGGAGCUGCACGGGCCACUGCCGACGCGGCGCAGGAGUUGCGCUGUGCGAGACGGGCCUUUCUGCAGAAGUGCCAUGCCCACGUUCUCUCGAUCGGGAAAGGGCCAACAGAUCCUAGGAGGCCCGGCGCGCCCGUUGCGCCAAGAAGCUGCACUCCUUUUUCCUCUGCUGCCGAUGAGUCGUGCUCAGGCUCCUUAAGUGCGGUGGGGGCCGAGCCACGCCGUGAGGCGACGCUCAUGCCGGCUGCAGCUGUGCAUCAGCUGCUCUUCGUGCUGAGAGAAAAGCUGACGCGGUGCAUCGAGGUGGGCGCGACGGAGGGGAGCUCAAGUGAGCAGCCUCGUGACUGCAGACCUUCCGACGAGCAAGGCGCAGCCGUUAAAGCGGUCACCAGCGUGAUGUCGCCGCUUACCGCUGAGAAAAGUCCUCCCUGGCCACCAUCAAAAUCCGUGACGGAUGCGUGUGUGCAUAGCGAAGCUGAUGGCCGAAGCUCCCCCCGUGAAAAGAAGCGUAUCGGCUUUGCACCGGAGUGCUGCUUCGAGCGGGUGACGGCCGUCCCCGCCGCCAACGUGAACCGUGGCACGAGAAAAACGUGGCUGACGGAGGGUGCACCUGGUGCCUGCGGCAGCGCUGCAGUUGUGCCACCGUCUGCUAACGUAACGCUCGAUGGCGACAAUCACCCUUCGAACGCCUGCCUGCGAAACGGGUCACGCCCGCGCACACAACGCUGCAGCGGCCACUUCACCGUGCGCGUUGCCUCGCGCUCUGCGACACUCGUUGCUGAGGCCGCAGCCGUGGGAGCAAAGCGCCAGCGCGUCUCCGAAGCCGCGACCGCCACCCAGUCAUCACCCCCGAAAGCCGCAAGAGCGGAUGGCGAUAAGGGCGUUCCUGCCUCCAGGGCGCCACAGGGCGCCAGUGCCGCCGCUGCCUUUUCACCCGCGUACUCGAACAAUCGUGACCGUCUUGUUGCCCCAGUAGACUUGCUGUCGCCGCGGUCUGCUGAGGCUCGGCGCAACGGCAGCAGUGGAUCGAGCCGACGCACAGUCUGGACAUGGACGCGCGGCACGUCGCGUGAGCAAUGAGGCGGUAGAGGGGGAGGGGUAGCGAAACAAAAAACAAAACGUCUGAGUUGGUCAGAGCUGGGGAGCCAUGGCGCCGGCGAGCGAUACGGGGCGUUGUGCUAGAGAUUCGGUGAUGUGGCCCUUUUCUUUUUUUUUUUUUCGUCUUUUGCGUCUUCUCGUUCCCUGUUUGUGAGUUCUGUUUAACUCCCCUUUGGUGGCUUGUGCGCCUUCUUUCACUUGCCGUCAUCUGCUACCGUCUUCAGAUAAUACCAAGAGAUUGCCUGACUCGUUGAGGGGCGGGGCAUGGAGGGGUGCUCUACCCUCCUGCACGCUCAGUUGUUGAACUGCUGUGCCAUGCCCCACUCCCUUUCCCCUCGCGCGCUGCGAGCGCGUAGCGGCACCGCUCUUUUUGAUCCCUUGGCGUCGCUUCUCCAGGCUGCUGCUCAGGGCGGCUUCUGCUUGGUGUUUUCUUCUGCUAUCCGUGCUUCGUCGCUGUUUCCAUGUGCGCAGUACUCGAUCACACAUACAAAACAGAAAAAAAACGUGCGCAGUGGACGGGGGCGUAGAGGCCCCGUCGGGUUUCGGCUCUCGAUCUAUCAUCUUG